RNAcentral lists this ribosomal RNA (539 nucleotides) under uncultured bacterium. Its description in RNAcentral is "partial 16S ribosomal RNA". It matches the Rfam family "Bacterial small subunit ribosomal RNA", at positions 354 to 901 of the family's 1533-position model. The record is from RNAcentral.
UGGGGAAAUAUUGCACAAUGGGCGCAAGCCUGAUGCAGCAACGCCGCGUGAGGGACGACGGCCUUCGGGUUGUAAACCUCUUUUAGUAGGGAAGAAGCGAAAGUGACGGUACCUGCAGAAAAAGCACCGGCUAACUACGUGCCAGCAGCCGCGGUAAUACGUAGGGUGCGAGCGUUGUCCGGAAUUAUUGGGCGUAAAGAGCUCGUAGGCGGUCUGUCGCGUCUGCUGUGAAAACCCCGAGGCUCGACCUCGGGCCUGCAGUGGGUACGGGCAGACUAGAGUGCGGUAGGGGAGAAUGGAAUUCCUGGUGUAGCGGUGGAAUGCGCAGAUAUCAGGAGGAACACCGAUGGCGAAGGCAGUUCUCUGGGCCGUAACUGACGCUGAGGAGCGAAAGCGUGGGGAGCGAACAGGAUUAGAUACCCUGGUAGUCCACGCCGUAAACGUUGGGCGCUAGAUGUGGGGACCAUUCCACGGUUUCCGUGUCGCAGCUAACGCAUUAAGCGCCCCGCCUGGGGCAGUACGGCCGCAAGGCUAAAACU